This 244-nucleotide long non-coding RNA is filed under the name Cicer arietinum (chickpea). RNAcentral's name for it is "long non-coding RNA (CARI_LNC003770)". Lineage: Eukaryota; Viridiplantae; Streptophyta; Magnoliopsida; Fabales; Fabaceae. The record is from RNAcentral.
AGAGAGAUGAAGCUUUAACACUUUGAUUAUUACACUAAUUGAAGUAAAAGCAUUGUUGCAAGAACAUUGUGUUCCACUCAGUCACUCACUCACUAAUCUAUGCGUUUGCUUUUGAAAUGCAAUACUCACUCAGCAACAUAUAAAAAGACUCAUAAUAUUGCCAUUGUCUAGAGUGCUUCAACAACUCCUUGUAACAUAGCAAGGUACAUAAUUAAAUGAAGAAAAAAGUCUCGUGUUACCAUUU